GUUUAUUGGAACUUGGGAAGUUAGGUCUGCUGGAGAUUCAGGGAACAGCAAAGCGGAUGCUGUGGAUGAUGAUGGAGUGGAACUUGAGAAAAGUAACAUUCUUCUAAUGGGACCAACAGGCUCAGGGAAGACAUUACUUGCCAAAACCUUGGCGCGGUUUGUUAAUGUUCCUUUUGUUAUUGCAGAUGCAACUACAUUGACCCAGGCAGGAUAUGUGGGGGAAGAUGUGGAGUCCGUAUUGGGCAAGCUAUUAAUGGCUGCUGACUAUAAUGUGGCAGCUGCUCAGCAGGGCAUUGUAUACAUCGAUGAAGUUGACAAGAUCACAAAAAAGGCUGAGAGUGUUAAUAUUAGCAGAGAUGUAUCAGGUGAG
RNAcentral lists this unclassified non-coding RNA (370 nucleotides) under Hevea brasiliensis (rubber tree). Lineage: Eukaryota; Viridiplantae; Streptophyta; Magnoliopsida; Malpighiales; Euphorbiaceae. The record is from RNAcentral.